GCAUAUCAAUAAGCGGAGGAAAAGAAAUCAACGAAGAUUCCCUCAGUAACGGCGAGUGAAGCGGGAAUAGCUCAGACUGAAAACCUUCGGGAAUGUGGUCUGCAGAUGGGACAUCGAAUCUUCGGAAGCUGAUAAAGUGAUCUGGAAUGAUCCGCCGUGGAGGGUGACAGCCCCGUUCGUAUCAGUGGAAAGAGAAAGUAGAUGCUUAUCGACGAGUCGAGUUGUUUGGGAAU
This 233-nucleotide ribosomal RNA is filed under the name uncultured fungus. RNAcentral's name for it is "partial 26S ribosomal RNA". It matches the Rfam family "Eukaryotic large subunit ribosomal RNA", at positions 38 to 281 of the family's 3401-position model. The record is from RNAcentral. Lineage: Eukaryota; Fungi.